CCACUUGCGCAGCACUCUGUGAACACCUAUCUAACAGUUGUCCUUCGGGACUAUGAACAUAAACGCGCUCGUAAUAAGCGGAUCGGACCAGGGGGCGGUACCCUGCGGCUCCACCAAACAUCCUUCAUUUGGGGAUCAUGGGGCCGAAAUAGGAUCGACGAACGUCUAAAGGGGUUAGCUUUGUUUCGGUGAGACACCACCGUUAUCGGUUCAAUUAAGCUAGUUGCAAAUGACAACAAAGCACCGAUGGCUCUGGCUGCUUAAGCAGUCCGAAAUAUCGAAACUUUAAGUCCUUAGGCUCGCAGCCUCUGGCGGGGUUCGCAGGUACCUGGCAACAGAAACCUGCACU
Molecule: transfer-messenger RNA, 349 nt
Filed under: Loktanella sp. S4079
Lineage: Bacteria; Pseudomonadati; Pseudomonadota; Alphaproteobacteria; Rhodobacterales; Roseobacteraceae
Description: Alphaproteobacteria transfer-messenger RNA
Rfam family: Alphaproteobacteria transfer-messenger RNA
About the family: Bacterial tmRNA, also known as 10Sa RNA or SsrA, is named for its dual tRNA and mRNA-like properties. Its role is to liberate the mRNA from a stalled ribosome.
Source: Rfam by way of RNAcentral